This 106-nucleotide small nuclear RNA is filed under the name Mus caroli (Ryukyu mouse). Lineage: Eukaryota; Metazoa; Chordata; Mammalia; Rodentia; Muridae. The record is from RNAcentral.
GUGCUUGCUCAGGCAAAACAGUUCAUAACACUGGAACAAUACAGGGAGAUUAGCAUGCCCCCUACACAGGGAUGACAUGCAAGUUCAUACAGUGCUCUGUACAUCA